Molecule: ribosomal RNA, 618 nt
Filed under: Peribacillus sp.
Lineage: Bacteria; Bacillati; Bacillota; Bacilli; Caryophanales; Bacillaceae
Description: bacterial SSU rRNA
Rfam family: Bacterial small subunit ribosomal RNA
Source: RNAcentral
GGGAGCUUGCUCCCUGAGAUUAGCGGCGGACGGGUGAGUAACACGUGGGCAACCUGCCUAUAAGACUGGGAUAACUUCGGGAAACCGGAGCUAAUACCGGAUACGUUCUUUUCUCGCAUGAGAGAAGAUGGAAAGACGGUUUACGCUGUCACUUAUAGAUGGGCCCGCGGCGCAUUAGCUAGUUGGUGAGGUAAUGGCUCACCAAGGCGACGAUGCGUAGCCGACCUGAGAGGGUGAUCGGCCACACUGGGACUGAGACACGGCCCAGACUCCUACGGGAGGCAGCAGUAGGGAAUCUUCCGCAAUGGACGAAAGUCUGACGGAGCAACGCCGCGUGAACGAAGAAGGCCUUCGGGUCGUAAAGUUCUGUUGUUAGGGAAGAACAAGUACCAGAGUAACUGCUGGUACCUUGACGGUACCUAACCAGAAAGCCACGGCUAACUACGUGCCAGCAGCCGCGGUAAUACGUAGGUGGCAAGCGUUGUCCGGGAAUUAUUGGGCGUAAAGCGCGCGCAGGUGGUUCCUUAAGUCUGAUGUGAAAGCCCACGGCUCAACCGUGGAGGGUCAUUGGAAACUGGGGAACUUGAUUGCAAAAGAGGAAAGUGGAAUUCCAAGUGU